Molecule: transfer RNA, 72 nt
Filed under: Parcubacteria group bacterium
Lineage: Bacteria
Description: tRNA-Lys
Rfam family: tRNA
About the family: Transfer RNA (tRNA) molecules are approximately 80 nucleotides in length. Their secondary structure includes four short double-helical elements and three loops (D, anti-codon, and T loops).
Source: RNAcentral
CCGCUCAUAGCUCAAUGGUAGAGCAGCUGCCUCUUAAGCAGUUGGUUGUAGGUUCGACUCCUACUGAGCGGA